AGCAGCCGCGGUAAUUCCAGCUCCAAUAGCGUAUAUUAAAGUUGUUGCAGUUAAAAAGACUCGUAGUUGAAUUUCGGGGUUAGUAGGUUGGUCAUGCCUCUGGUAUGUACUGGUCUCACUGAUUCCUCCUUCCUGAUGAGCCUUAAUGCCAUUAAUUUGGUGUUUUGGGGAAUUUGGACUGUUACUUUGAAAAAAUUAGAGUGUUUAAAGCAAGCUAACGCUUGAAUACAUUAGCAUGGAAUAAUGAAAUAGGACGUUCGAUCCUAUUUUGUUGGUUUCUAGGAUUGACGUAAUGAUUAAUAGGGAUAGUUGGGGGCAUUAGUAUUCAAUUGUCAGAGGUGAAAUUCUUGGAUUUAUUGAAGACUAACUACUGCGAAAGCAUUUGCCAAGGAUGUUUUCAUUAA
Molecule: ribosomal RNA, 404 nt
Filed under: uncultured Glomus
Lineage: Eukaryota; Fungi; Glomeromycota; Glomeromycetes; Glomerales; Glomeraceae
Description: SSU rRNA
Rfam family: Eukaryotic small subunit ribosomal RNA
Source: RNAcentral